This 759-nucleotide ribosomal RNA is filed under the name uncultured Methanosarcina sp. Its description in RNAcentral is "bacterial SSU rRNA". It matches the Rfam family "Archaeal small subunit ribosomal RNA", at positions 102 to 859 of the family's 1478-position model. The record is from RNAcentral. Lineage: Archaea; Methanobacteriati; Methanobacteriota; Methanomicrobia; Methanosarcinales; Methanosarcinaceae.
GGAUAACCUGCCCUUGGGACCGGCAUAACCCCGGGAAACUGGGGAUAAUUCCGGAUAACGCAUAUUUGCUGGAAUGCUUUAUGCGUCAAAAGGAUUCGUCUGCCCAAGGAUGGGUCUGCGGCCUAUCAGGUAGUAGUGGGUGUAAUGUACCUACUAGCCAGCGACGGGUACGGGUUGUGAGAGCAAGAGCCCGGAGAUGGAUUCUGAGACAUGAAUCCAGGCCCUACGGGGUGCAGCAGGCGCGAAAACUUUACAAUGCGGGAAACCGUGAUAAGGGGACACCGAGUGCCAGCAUCAUAUGCUGGCUGUCCGGAUGUGUAAAAUACAUCCGUUAGCAAGGGCCGGGCAAGACCGGUGCCAGCCGCCGCGGUAACACCGGCGGCCCGAGUGGUGAUCGUGAUUAUUGGGUCUAAAGGGUCCGUAGCCGGUUUGGUCAGUCCUCCGGGAAAUCUGAUAGCUCAACUAUUAGGCUUUCGGGGGAUACUGCCAGACUUGGAACCGGGAGAGGUAAGAGGUACUACAGGGGUAGGAGUGAAAUCUUGUAAUCCCUGUGGGACCACCUGUGGCGAAGGCGUCUUACCAGAACGGGUUCGACGGUGAGGGACGAAAGCUGGGGGCACGAACCGGAUUAGAUACCCGGGUAGUCCCAGCCGUAAACGAUGCUCGCUAGGUGUCAGGCAUGGCGCGACCGUGUCUGGUGCCGCAGGGAAGCCGUGAAGCGAGCCACCUGGGAAGUACGGCCGCAAGGCUGAAACUUAA